CUCUUCAGGAGGUGGUGGAGAGCUGCCAUUUUCAAGCAUCACAGCUCAGGCGGUGUAGGUAAACCCACAGCAGCUCAAGGAGAGCGGGCCAGCAUUAGAAGAUGGUGGGCCAAUAGGAGACCCUCCAGCACUGAAGAGGCAGCGGGCUGUCUUCAGGCCUAGAGUGCAUCGGAAAUAAGAGAAAACACACACGACUGGGAAAACUGCAUCUGAACAAGAAACUGAAAAUUCUGGAAGUACUCAGCGGGCCAUUCAGCGUCCGUAGAGGGAGAAACAGGAAUAACAUCGGUGUCCUGUGCAGGGAGGAGGAGGAUAGGUCAUUCGUCUGAAACCCUGGCCUGGAUUUUAAUCCUCGAGUGUUGGUGGGAGUUGGGAUAAUUCCUGCUCGGUCUCUGUUUCUUAACCAUGCGGCCUUGGAGUAUCAUUACAUCAGUAUCAGGUGUCCUGCAGUUAAAAGAUUUUUAUUAAAAAG
This is a long non-coding RNA of Carcharodon carcharias (great white shark), 472 nucleotides long. RefSeq lists it as uncharacterized. NCBI's taxonomy places the organism in Eukaryota, Metazoa, Chordata, Chondrichthyes, Lamniformes, Lamnidae. The record is from RefSeq and is a predicted model, not a curated record. The transcript is spliced from 4 exons.